Molecule: long non-coding RNA, 152 nt
Organism: Myotis brandtii (Brandt's bat)
Lineage: Eukaryota; Metazoa; Chordata; Mammalia; Chiroptera; Vespertilionidae
Exons: 3
Source: RefSeq, a predicted model, not a curated record
CCAGGAGAAAAUACAGGAACUAAGAAGCCUGUGCAACCAGGAGCCUGUGCAGUGCAAACUCAGAGUGAAAGCAGUUCCUCAGCCACUGGUACCUUGGUGUCAGAUGCCUCUUCUCGCUGCUCCUCUUCAGGUUGGCCUCUUGAGGUAUGGGG